This 482-nucleotide ribosomal RNA is filed under the name uncultured bacterium. Its description in RNAcentral is "partial 16S ribosomal RNA". It matches the Rfam family "Bacterial small subunit ribosomal RNA", at positions 28 to 523 of the family's 1533-position model. The record is from RNAcentral.
GAUGAACGCUGGCGGCGUGCUUAACACAUGCAAGUCGAACGAUGAAACCUAGCUUGCUAGGUCGAUUAGUGGCGAACGGGUGAGUAACACGUGACUAACCUGCCCCUUUCUCUGGGAUAACGCUUCGAAAGGAGUGCUAAUACCGGAUACUCACAUCGAGGCACAUGCCUUGAUGUGGAAAGUUUUUCGGAAAGGGAUGGAGUCGCGGCCUAUCAGCUUGUUGGUGAGGUAACGGCUCACCAAGGCGACGACGGGUAGCCGGCCUGAGAGGGCGACCGGCCACACUGGGACUGAGACACGGCCCAGACUCCUACGGGAGGCAGCAGUGGGGAAUAUUGCACAAUGGGCGCAAGCCUGAUGCAGCGACGCCGCGUGAGGGAUGAAGGUCUUCGGAUUGUAAACCUCUUUCAGUAGGGACGAAGCGAAAGUGACGGUACCUAAAGAAGAAGCACCGGCUAACUACGUGCCAGCCGCCGCCGUAA